Molecule: long non-coding RNA, 3100 nt
Filed under: Mus musculus (house mouse)
Lineage: Eukaryota; Metazoa; Chordata; Mammalia; Rodentia; Muridae
Description: long non-coding RNA chr7:90134193-90137293
Source: RNAcentral
CAGGGCUAUACAGAGAAAUCCUGUCUUGAAAAACCAACAAAACAAGACAAAACAAAAAACAUAGUUGGUCAAUCAUGUUUUCUUAAGUUUGCUGUAUAUCUCUCUUAUGUGGAUAAUUUUGGAAAGCAUCUUUUAGUUUAAAGGUGAGAAAUGAAACACUUCAUGGUGACUAGGCUAUUUUCUCAUGUUUUGAACGCUUAGGUUGGCCUGGAAAACUAUGUAUCCUGUGUUGGCCUUGAACCCACAGUCUUGCCUGAGAUGGGAUUGAUGACAAGCAUGUACCUCCAUGACUGCUUGCAGAACAUUUUCAUGAAAUACAUUGAUAUCUGAAAAUACUUUGUAAAAAUUUUAGUUAUCAAAAUUGAUUUAAUUUACAAUAAAAGGGAUCGAGUCUAGGGCCUUAUACAUGCUGGGCAAAUGUUCUACCACUGAGUUAUAUACUCAGCUCUUUUCUUUCUUUCUUUUUUUUCUUGAGACAGGAUGGUCUUGAAUUUUCUCUGUAUCAAGACCUUGAACUUGAUUCUGCCUUAGCUUUCUGUGUAUUAUGACCAUAGGCCUGUGGCACCAGGCCCAGUGUUUUGCUGUAGUUUAAAAGUGUUUACUUUGAUAUUGACCAUUAUUUAGAAUAGUAAAAUGAAAGUUUACAAUAAUUCAUAGAAAGUUGCACAUUUAUUUAGCUUCAAAGUGCUUAAGUUCACUUUUGUUUGUUUGUUUUUAGAAAUCAAACAAGAAAUAAAGCCUAAACGUUUCUUGGGGAGGAGUCCUUAGACUCCUGCUCCUUUGGUGGUUAAAGCGGCAUUUCCGUUACUUUGUGUUCUGUUUCAUUGUGUUCCUAGUUGAAGUGCUUUAUAUAUUUCUUUAGAGAAUUGGAAUUUUGAGUAUGACCUUUUAGAAUUUUCUAUGUUCAUUAUGUAUAUUGUUCUUUUCAUGAAGAAUUGUUCACUUUGUUUUGACUAGUGAAUUUAUUUAAAAACACAUCCUGUCGUGCAUUUGAUAUGUGUUUCAUUCUGGAUUUGUCCACCCUUUAGGUGGGUGGUAGGGUUCAUGAACCGAAACUUUUGCAUUAAAAAUUAAAUUUAGAGUUGUGAUUUGCUGGAUUUUUUUUGUCGUCAUGCUAAGGAUUUCUCAUAUAUUUGUAUGUAGUUGGUGGAUAGUUUUUGGGCUUAUGCCUUGUUUUUUUUAUUCUUAUUAUUUUGAAACAGGGUCUCAGGUAGACCAGGCUAGCCUCAAGCUCACAAUGUAAACUGGUGAUGACCUUAACCUUCUAGUCCUCCUGCCUGUACUUCUCAAGUGCUAGGAUUAUGGGCAUGUGCCACCAUGACCUUAACUGAUUUUCUUUUUUUGAUGAAUAUUUUGGGUUUAUUGUAUGCUGGAGACAUUUACAUUUAUUAACUACUAUUUUGCUUUUAAUAACUUAAUGUGAGAGGCUUUGUUUCUGUACAAGCUCUCAGCCAGGAAGUGGUAGACUGGACAUUGAGCUCAAGUCUAGGAUUAGAGUAUGCUAAGGUUUCAGUGACUUUUUACAUAAUUUUCUAUCCCAGGAAAUGAGUAUUUCUUAGAGCACUAUUCAGUUCAUAGGGUCAAAGAUUUCUCAUAUAGUUACAUAUUCCCACAUGUCUUUUAUUAUCAAAAACUCUAUUUAAAUAAAGUGCUACUUGUGUAUAAAUGAUAAACCUAUUUUAAUACAUCACCCAAAGGAAGCAGUAACAUUAGGAUUCAUUUUUGCUUUUGUACAUUCUAUAGGUUUGGGCAAAUAUCUGCAUAUAUCCACUAUUACAUCGUCAUAAAAAGUUAAUUUGACUGUCCUGAAAAGUUUUGUGGUUUUCCAAAACCCCUUGAAGCCUCUGAUCUUUUCUGUCUUCUCAGCUUUCCUGGUUUCAGAAGCCUUGUGAUUGGAUCUUCCAUACACUAGUCUGUAACAUUCCUAAAAGUCAGAUUGUUUUCUUACUGCAUUUUAAGAGGUGAUUUUUGUUUUUGUUAUUUGUAUAUUUUGGAUAGUUGACUUUUCUCACAUCUUUUCCAAAUACUGUAUCUGUGUCUAGUCUUUUUUGUCACUUGACAGUGUCUUCCAGAAAGCAGAAAACUUUAGUUUCAAUGUAGUCUAGAGCAGCAGUUCUCACCUGUGGGUUGUGACCCCUUUAGGGGUUUGAAUGAUUUUCCCAUAGGGGUCACAUAUCAGAUAUCCAGUAUAUCAGAUAUUUACAUUAUAAUUAGUAACAGUAUCAAAAUUACAGUUAUGAAGUAGUAAUGAAGUAAUUUAUGGUUGGAGGUUACCACACCAUGAGGAACUGUAUUAAAGGGUUGUAUGCAGCUUUAGAAAGGUUGGGAACCAUUGGUCUAGACCAUCACUCCUUGGAUUAUUCCUUUAGUGUUGUUUCUAAAAUGUAAUCACCAAACCCAAAGUCAUUUGGAUUACUCCCCAUAUUGUCUUCCCAAAACCUUGUUUUGUAUUUUCCAUCUGGUUUUGUAAUAGUUUUGUGCAUAUUUCUGUGAAAGGUGUAAGGCCUGUGUCAUUCAGUGGGCUCCUUUACAUAGGUAUGUUCACCUUUUCUCAUUGCAUAGACCUGGGCUCCUUUGUUAGCACCGAUUCUUCAGGUAUGAGCCAAGGACACCUGUGAAUAUCUAUAACCUUCAGCAGGUUUGUGAGGUCAAAAUUGAGUAUCCAUAUUUUAAGGUACAACUUCCCUUCCCUAUUCUGAGUUUCCCAGAAGCUUUGUGCUGUGUGAUUAUUGCAACAGGUUGAGUGUAUUAGCAAACCAUAAGAGCUUGACUCUUGUGGCUGGUGAGAUCACUCAGCAGGUGAGAGCACUGACUGCUCUUCGGAAGGUCCUGAGUUCAAAUCCCAGCAACCACAUGGUGGCUCACAACCACCUGUAAUGAGAUCUGACGCCCUCUUCUGGUGUGUUUGAAGGCAGCUACAGUGUACUUAUGUAGAAUAAUAAAUCUUUGGGCUGGAGCAAGCAGGAACUGAGUGAGCGGAGUCAACUGGAGCGAGCAGAGGUCCUAAAAAUUCAAUUCCCAGCAACCACAUGAAGGCUCUCAACCUUGAAGCUACAGUAUACUCACAUACAACCUGUACACAGCUACAGUGUACUUAUAC